GGAGGAGUACCCAAGUCCGGCUGAAGGGAUCGGUCUUGAAAACCGACAGGCGGGUUAAACCGCGCGGGGGUUCGAAUCCCUCCUCCUCCG
Molecule: transfer RNA, 90 nt
Filed under: Evansella caseinilytica
Lineage: Bacteria; Bacillati; Bacillota; Bacilli; Caryophanales; Bacillaceae
Rfam family: tRNA
About the family: Transfer RNA (tRNA) molecules are approximately 80 nucleotides in length.
Source: Rfam by way of RNAcentral